RNAcentral lists this ribosomal RNA (2983 nucleotides) under Pogostemon cablin (patchouli). RNAcentral describes it as "eukaryotic LSU rRNA". The stretch from base 604 to 2983 matches the Rfam family "Eukaryotic large subunit ribosomal RNA". Lineage: Eukaryota; Viridiplantae; Streptophyta; Magnoliopsida; Lamiales; Lamiaceae. The record is from RNAcentral.
AGCAUAAAAGCAGAAUUACCUUUCACCGGGAUUGAUGUAGAGGAUGAACUGUGAACGACCUUCCGGUCUGCUUUUGUAUUCCUAAGCCUCUCCUUGACGUUGAGUGGGCAACAAUCACCAAAGAGAACUCAAUCUGCAGAUCCCUCACAACUCACGUAUUGCGGCAUGAAUAAUUAGGUUACGGGCUGCUGAGUUUGGCUAUUAAAAGGCUACAACAGGGACCAGGAAGAGAAAUUAGGGUUUGGGCCUCCCAUUGGACUUAAGCAUCAAAGUUUAGCCCAAAACGUAUACUUAGGUCCAAUAAUAAUAAAUCAGUCCACUAAAGAAAUAUUAUUGAACUGUCACCCUAAUCUUAAAUUACAUUAUGGGCUCCUUCUUAUUAUGAGCUUGUUAAUCUCCCCAUGUUUAAGAUUCAAUGCCCAUUAAUUAAUUAAGUUAUUGACAACUCUAUUAAUUAAUAUAUGGACCGAGAGUAGUACCACUCAACCUUAUUAUCAUGUCAGAAUAAAUCCACUGCAGGGUUUACAUGAUAAUCAUUAUGAGUUUCUCAAGGGGACAUCAUCAACCAGUUCUGUUAGGACACAGAUUCUUUCUACAAUCAACAACACACCAUAGAGAUAAUAUUAUCUCCCGACUCACCAAGCACAUUACCACUCAACCUUGUUAUUAUGCCGGAAUAAAUCCACCUGCAGGGUUUACAUGAUAAUCCUUAUAAGCUGCUCAAGGAGACAUCAUCAGCCUAUUUAAUAGGACACAUAUUCCUUCUACAAUCAAAAGCACACCAUAGAGACAACAUUAUCUCCCGACUCACCAAGCAUAUUGAUUUAAUAAUUAAAUCUUACCCAUUGAUGAAUCAAGAAAAUAAAUACUGGCUUACGUGUUGAGGUUAUUGUAUAGGGAUUAAGAGUACGAACUUUCAUAAUAACAGAGAUCAAGUUGUAUUAUAUAGUCAGUAUAAAAUGGAUGGCGCAGAAGCACUGAAGCGCGCGACCUAUACCCGGCCGUCGGGGCAAGGGCCAUGCCUUUAUGAGUAGGAGGGCACGGCGGUCGCUGGAAAAACCUGGGCACGAGCCCGGGCACGAGCGGCCAUCGGUGCGGAUCUUGGUGGUAGUAACAAAUAUUUAAAUGAGAACUUUGAAGGCCGAAUAGGGGAAAGGUUCCAUGUGAACGGCACUUGCACAAGGGUUAGUCGAUCCUUAGGGUCGGGGGAAGCCCGACAGACAGCGCAUUCAGCGCGUGCUCCGAAAGGGAAUCGAGUUAAAAUUCCCGAACUAGGAUGCGGCGGUAAACGGCAACAUUAGGGAGUCCGGAGAUGUCAGCAGGGGCCUCGGGAAGAGUUAUCUUUUCUGUUUAACAGCCUGCCCAUCUUGGAAAUGGCUCAGCCGGAGGUAGGGUCAAGAGGCUGGAAGAGCACCACACAUCGCGUGGUGUUCGGUGCACCCUCUGUGGCCCUUGAAAAUCCGGAGGACCGAGUAUCGUCCAUGCCCGAUCGUACUCAUAACUGCAUCAGGUCUCCAAGGUGAUCAGCCUCUGGUCGAUGGAACAAUGUAGGUAAGAGAAGUCGGCAAAAUGGAUCCGUAACCUCAGGAAAAGGAUUGGCUCUGAGGGCUGGGCACGGGGUCCCAGUCCCGAACCCAUCGACUGUCGGUGAACUGCUCGAGCUGCUCAUGUAGCGAGAGUGGAUCGUCGCGUGCUGGCCGGAGGAGGGACUGGGAACGGCUCCCUCGGGGGCCUUCCCCGGGCGUCAAACAGUCGACUCAGAACUGGUACAGACAAGGGGAAUCCAAUUGUUUAAUUAAAACAAAGCAUUACGAUGGUCCCUGCGGAUGCUCACGCAAUGUGAUUUCUACCCAGUGCUCUGAAUGUCAAAGUGAAGAAAUUCAACCAAGAGCGGGUAAAUGGCGGGAGUAACUAUGACUCUCUUAAGGUAGCCAAAUUCCUCGUCAUCUAAAUAGUGACGCGCAUGAAUGGAUUAACGAGAUUCCCACUGUUCCUGUGUACUAUCCAGUGAAACCACUGCCAAGGGAACGGGCUUGGCGGAAUCAUCGGGGAAAGAAGACCCUGUUGAGCGGUGUAGCAUAAGUGGGAGUCGAAAGGCAAAAGUGAAAUACCACUACUUUUAGCAUUAUUUUACUUAUUCUGUGAAUUAGAGGCGGGGCAUCGCCCCUCUUUUUGGACCCAAGGCUCGCCCCGGUGGGCCGAUCCGGGUGGAAGACAUUGUCAGGUAGGGAGUUUGGUUGGGGCGACACAUCUAUUAAAAGAUAACGCAGGUGUCCUAAGAUGAGCUAAACGAGAACAGAAAUCUCGUGUGGAACAGAAGGGUAAAAGCUCGUUUGAUUUUAAUUUCCAAUACGAAUACGAAUCAUGAAAACAUGGCCUAACGAUCCUUUAGACCUUCGAAAAUUGAAGCUAGAGGUGUCAGAAAAGUUACCACAUGGAUAACUGGCUUGUGUCAGCCAAGCGUUCAUAGCGAUGUUGCUUUUUGAUCCUUCAAUAUCGGCUCUUCCUCAUUGUGAAGCAGAAUUCACCAAGUGUUGGAUUGUUCACCCACCAAUAAGGAACGUGAGCUGGGAUUAGACCAUCAUGAGAUAGGUUAGUUUUACCCUACUGAUGAUGGUGUCGCAAUAGUAAUUCAACCUAGUACAAGAGGAACCGUUGAUUCGCACAAUUGGUCAUCGCGCUCAGUUGAAAAGCCAGUGGCGCGAAGCUACCGCGCGCUGGAUUAUGAUUGAACACCUCUAAGUCAACAUCCAAGCUAGACGCGAUGCAUGCGCCCGCCGUCCGCUCCCUGACCUGCAGUAGGGUCCCCCAGGCCCCAAAGGCACAUGUCGUUGGCUAAGUCCCGCGGCGGACGAGCCUCGUGGGCCACCUCAAAGUACAAUUCCAAUCCAGCAGUGGGUAGAAUCCUUUGCAAACGACUUAAAUACGCGACCAGGUAUUGUAAGCGGUACAGUGGCCUUGCUGCCAUGAUUCACUUUGAUUC